This 68-nucleotide transfer RNA is filed under the name Ixodes scapularis (black-legged tick). It matches the Rfam family "tRNA". Rfam says of the family: Transfer RNA (tRNA) molecules are approximately 80 nucleotides in length. Their secondary structure includes four short double-helical elements and three loops (D, anti-codon, and T loops). Further hydrogen bonds mediate the characteristic L-shaped molecular structure. tRNAs have two regions of fundamental functional importance: the anti-codon, which is responsible for specific mRNA codon recognition, and the 3' end, to which the tRNAs corresponding amino acid is attached (by aminoacyl-tRNA synthetases). tRNAs cope with the degeneracy of the genetic code in two manners: having more than one tRNA (with a specific anti-codon) for a particular amino acid; and 'wobble' base-pairing, i.e. permitting non-standard base-pairing at the 3rd anti-codon position. The record is from Rfam by way of RNAcentral. Lineage: Eukaryota; Metazoa; Arthropoda; Arachnida; Ixodida; Ixodidae.
CCCUGGUUAGCUCAGUUGGUAGAGCGCUCCACCUGUAAUGGAGAGGUCCCGGGUACCCGGACCAGGCG